UGAUGCCGGCCCUGGGGAAGGGAGGCCCCCUCCCCCGGCCGAGCUGUCUCCGCGGCGCCUGCUCCUCCCGGAGGGCCGGCCGGCUGGGGCAGGAGUCCGGCUGCGGGGGGAGGAAGCGGGGGGUGGGGGGGGUGAGAAAGUUCUGCCCCAGGGGCUGGAGCGAGCGCGAAUGUCCACCGCCAGCGAAGUGCCUGGCCACCGGGGACUCCACCGCCCGGGCGGCGGACGAGUGCAGCCCAGCUCCUCGCCCCCACCUCCUCCUACUGCGGCUGUCUCGUCGCGAGGCUCCCCGGGACGAAGGCUAGAGGGUGCAGUGCCACCCGGCGCUCGGGUCCAAUCUUGCUGAAGAAGCGGCUUCCCCGGAGGACCGGGGGAGGAGCUGGCAGCCGCGAGGCGCUUCUCCCCCUCCGCAGAGGUCGGCCGGCCGUUCCGCUGGCGGCGGAUGGGCGUGCACGGCCGCGAGUGCAGCCGCCGCGGUCACUGCUUCCAGGACGCACGAGAGCCGAGGAGAGAAGGCGUGCACGCCAGCAGGCUCCCGCCGCCGACCCCAGCCCCUCCACCCACCCGCCCGCCCGCCCCGGGCCUGGCCGGCGGCGCCGGGGGGCCCCUCGCAGCUGGCGGCGCUCACGUUGGCUGCAGGGCGCUCGCGCGGCGCCUCGGCCCGGGUCGCAUCCCUUUCCCAGCUAGCGCUCGCCCGGAAUGUGGGGUUGUGAUUGUUAAAACUCUACGUUCCGGAGGCGCGGCGCGGCGCUCCCGCUCGCGCUGCGGCUCGCGCUGUCCCGGGCUUGGCCGCGCGGGAUGCCGCCCGGGCGGAGCGCUGACGUCACCACCACGCUCUGCACCAGUUCUCCCCCCCUCCCGCGCCGCCCCUCCCCUUUACACUUCCUCCGUGGAGCCCACUUGUUGCUCGGAAAAGCGCAUGCGCGGCAGGCCGCCCAGAUUCCUCCCAGUUGGCCCCUCCUCCGCGCCUCCGCCCUCCCCUCCCCCCCUGGCCUUGCGUGAGUGCGUGUGUGCGUGUGUGUGUGUGUGUGUUUGUGUGUGUGUACAACAGCUGAGGCCCGGCGAGCUGAUGCUGGAAGUCCAGCGCUGGAGCGGGGAGGGGGGCUUGGAAAUUAAAACAGACGAUGACCUUUCCUUUCCCCGCCUGGCUUUCCCAAGUUUAAAACGCUUUUCAAAAGCACGAGCGUCGCUUCCGAUCCCGCUCCCCACCCCAUCCCCGCCCCACCCCGGGGGCAGUGAAUUUAAAUAUGUCCUGUCUCAAGAUUUUUUUCGCUGUGAAUUUCAUAAUAUAAUAUAAAAUUUGCAUAUUUCAUCAGCAAUCAAACCUCUUUCCCCGCAUCCACGCCCCCCCCCCGGAUGAAUGUUACACUCAUUACUACCCCUGAUGCCGAAGCACCUGCAAGACUAGCUGUUCUCCAGUUUUCCAGAAACUGCCUUUCCGCUUUUGUUUUUGUGCCCUGGUCUAGAAACCUGAGCUUCAGCGACGGAGCUAAAAUGAAUUCAGGGUGACACAACCCUCCCCCCAAGCCGCACUCUUUAAAAAUUUUGGCUGAAUGUCUAAAGAAGCUACGAGCACCCCCGGAGGCCUUUAAGGAAAACAGUCUACUGGCUGCGCACAGCUGCAGUUGGGGGCAGGGAGGGAGGUGCUGGAGAGACCAGACAGGUGAGUGGUUUUCCCCGGUUUGAUAAAAAGAAGGUGGGGACAGCCAUUUAAUAAUAUCGAUAGAGCUUUGUAAAACACCGCCGCCGUUUUUCAAAAUUCUUUUCUCUGUGCUGUGAUUUCAUUCCAUAGGGCCCUAGAAGGCUGAGCAAGGUCAUGAUUUCUUUUCUUGAUGAGACAAGAUCACGUCUCAUCAUUAGUGUUUAUUGAAGAACAGAUAUGUUGGUCAAAGGGGCAUUUCCACUGAUUCUUUCAAGUAUUGGUUUUUUCCAUGAAGACUAAGGUAGUCCUGGGCAAGAAGGGUGGCCAUGUAAUGGAAUUUCAGAUUCUGGAGUCUGACACACUUAGAAUUUUCUCUUACUGGCUUUGUGACCUUGAGCUAUUACAUAGCCUAACAUAACCUCUGUUUUCCAUCUGUAAAAUGGGAUCUGAGCUCCCACUUAAUUAGGAAUGUUUGAAUUGUCAUUGUAUUUCUUGUUAUAACUCAUUUUGACUUGCUGUGGUUCAGACACUGUUAGGUGGUUUACUUACGUUAUCAUUAAACCUUCAAUAUUAUCUACAAGGUAGAUUCUAUUGCUGUGUUUUACAAGCUCAGAAAACAAAGAGGUUAAAUAACUUGUCCAAGGUCACACACCCAUGAGAGACAGAACUGGGAUCUGAAUACUGUAAAUCUGUUUUGAAUGCUGCCUUUGACAAGUUUAGGUUCUCAGUGGUGUUUUGGAGUGCUCAAAAUUUCCAUCAGCCCGCCCCCCACCCCCAGUUUGUUACAUACAAUUCUCAUGUAAAGUGCUACGCAAAUACAUCUUCAUAACUGCCCCCCACCCUCCCCUUCCAAAUAGAUUGUGCCAUUGACUUCUUCCAUAGAAGCUGUGGACCUGCCACUGCCAGAGACUAGCAUAAAUAUGCCACACAUUGUGUAGAACAGUGUCAGGUAUAUAGAAAGCUGUGAGUAAUUGUUGGCUAUUAUUGGUAUCGAUAUUGAUGGUACUAUUGCUGAUUAACAUAUAGAAAUACUUUGUAAAUUACAUAGAACAUAAGGAUCCCUACUUUUAUCACUACUAUUACUACUAAUUGUAAAAAAAAAGUUCAGCUGAAGCAACAAGAA
Long non-coding RNA from Capra hircus (goat), 2765 nucleotides. RefSeq lists it as uncharacterized. NCBI's taxonomy places the organism in Eukaryota, Metazoa, Chordata, Mammalia, Artiodactyla, Bovidae. The transcript is spliced from 2 exons. The record is from RefSeq and is a predicted model, not a curated record.